This 1597-nucleotide ribosomal RNA is filed under the name Ceratophrys cornuta (Surinam horned frog). RNAcentral describes it as "16S ribosomal RNA". It matches the Rfam family "Bacterial large subunit ribosomal RNA", at positions 424 to 2830 of the family's 2925-position model. Lineage: Eukaryota; Metazoa; Chordata; Amphibia; Anura; Ceratophryidae. The record is from RNAcentral.
GCUAAAAAUCUAGCCCAAAUCUUCAUAUGUAAACCCUACCCUUACAGCCACCAAAUAAAACAUUUUAACAACUUAGUAAAGGCGAUCGAAAAAUUUAAUGGAGCUAUAAAUAUAGUACCGCAAGGGAAAGAUGAAAUAGAAAUGAAACAACUACUUAAGCACAAAAAAGUAGAGACUGCCCCUCGUACCUUUUGCAUCAUGGUUUAACUAGUCCAAUCAAGCAAAACGACUUUAAGUUUGACUUCCCGAAACUAAGCGAGCUACUUCAAGGCAGCUUAAUGAGCCAACCCGUCUCUGUUGCAAAAGAGUGGGAAGACCUUCAAGUAGGGGUGACAGACCUAACGAGCUUAGUGAUAGCUGGUUACUCAAGAAAAGGAUUUUAGUCCAACCUAAAGUUAACUUAAUAAACCUAAAUAUUCCCCUAACUUUAGAGCAAUUCAAAUAAGGUACAGCCUAUUUGAAACAGGAUACAACCUUUAAUAAUGGGUAAACAUAAUGAUUCACAUAACUAAGUGGGCCUAAGAGCAGCCACCUUAAAAAUAGCGUCAAAGCUUAAUUAUAGUAUCAUCUAAUAACUCUCAUAAUUCUGAGCCCUUCCUCAAUAUUGAGUAAAUCUAUAUCAUUAUAGAAAUUUUUAUGUUAAAACUAGUAACAAGAAGAAGACCUUCUCUUAAAUGUAAGUGUAGAUCAGAAAGGACACGCCACUGAUAAUUAACACCUAUGAACCAAAAGUAGUAACUUAACAAGAAAAUCCUACUACACCUAAUGUUAACCUAACACAAGAACAUUCCAAGAAAGAUUAAAAGAAAAAGAAGGAACUCGGCAAAUAUUAACCUCGCCUGUUUACCAAAAACAUCGCCUCUUGACAAAAUAUAAGAGGUCCAGCCUGCCCAGUGACUCUGUUUAACGGCCGCGGUAUCCUAACCGUGCGAAGGUAGCGUAAUCACUUGUUCUUUAAAUGAGGACUAGUAUGAAUGGCAUCACGAGGGUUAUACUGUCUCCCUUUUCUAAUCAGUGAAACUAAUCUUCCCGUGAAGAAGCGGGAAUAAAGCUAUAAGACGAGAAGACCCUAUGGAGCUUUAAACAAAAUAACAAUUGCUACUAUCAUUAUCUAUUUCAGAAAUUUAAAUUUUAUCUUAGCAUUAUGAUUAUUAGUUUUAGGUUGGGGUGACCGCGGAGUAAAAAUUAACCUCCGCAUUGAAAGGAUAAUUUCCUAAGCAAAAAGUUACGACUUUAUGCAUCAACAAAUUGACAUUAAUUGACCCAAUAUUUUGAUCAACGAACCAAGUUACCCUAGGGAUAACAGCGCAAUCCACUUCAAGAGCUCCUAUCGACAAGUGGGUUUACGACCUCGAUGUUGGAUCAGGGUAUCCCAGUGGUGCAGCCGCUACUAAAGGUUCGUUUGUUCAACGAUUAAAACCCUACGUGAUCUGAGUUCAGACCGGAGUAAUCCAGGUCAGUUUCUAUCUAUAAGGAGCUUUUUCCAGUACGAAAGGAUCGAAAAAGCAUGGCCAAUGCUACAUGCAAGCCGUCACUAUUAAUUUAUGCUUUAAACUUAAUUAACAACUAAUCCACAACCAUCCUCUAGAAAAGAGAA